UGUCCAGCAACUCCUACCUCUACCUCCUCGUGGUAUUGGCCGGGGUACGAGUAACCUCAUGGAAGAUCGGGUAACCAACCCCGGUGUGAACUUUGGACGUAUGCUGACAGGGAAGG
Molecule: ribozyme, 116 nt
Filed under: Aedes aegypti (yellow fever mosquito)
Lineage: Eukaryota; Metazoa; Arthropoda; Insecta; Diptera; Culicidae
Description: drz-agam-1 ribozyme
Rfam family: drz-agam-1 ribozyme
Source: Rfam by way of RNAcentral